RNAcentral lists this ribosomal RNA (572 nucleotides) under uncultured fungus. RNAcentral's name for it is "eukaryotic LSU rRNA". The stretch from base 210 to 363 matches the Rfam family "5.8S ribosomal RNA". The record is from RNAcentral. Lineage: Eukaryota; Fungi.
GUCGUAACAAGGUCUCCGUAGGUGAACCUGCGGAGGGAUCAUUACACAAAUAUGAAGGCGGGCUGGAACCUCUCGGGGUUACAGCCUUGCUGAAUUAUUCACCCUUGUCUUUUGCGUACUUCUUGUUUCCUUGGUGGGUUCGCCCACCACUAGGACAAACAUAAACCUUUUGUAAUUGCAAUCAGCGUCAGUAACAAAUUAAUAAUUACAACUUUCAACAACGGAUCUCUUGGUUCUGGCAUCGAUGAAGAACGCAGCGAAAUGCGAUAAGUAGUGUGAAUUGCAGGAUUCAGUGAAUCAUCGAAUCUUUGAACGCACAUUGCGCCCUUUGGUAUUCCAAAGGGCAUGCCUGUUCGAGCGUCAUUUGUACCCUCAAGCUUUGCUUGGUGUUGGGCGUCUUGUCUCUAGCUUUGCUGGAGACUCGCCUUAAAGUAAUUGGCAGCCGGCCUACUGGUUUCGGAGCGCAGCACAAGUCGCACUCUCUAUCAGCAAAGGUCUAGCAUCCAUUAAGCCUUUUUUUCAACUUUUGACCUCGGAUCAGGUAGGGAUACCCGCUGAACUUAAGCAUAUCA